UUUUAACAUUAACCUAAUUUCGCUCUCGAAUGCUUGCAGCAACGUAUCAAAUGGAAACGUGCUAUCAGAAGUAUCAAAUUUUGAUACCUUUGGGCUUGUGGGGUCCGAGUUAACAGACAUAAUGCUAGAUUUGUGAGAAGAUGAAGCAUGCUUUGGUGUUUUAGUCUCUAAUUUGGUCAUGAAUUCGGAGAUACCGCGAUAAUGCAUUAAAACACACCUUAAUUUUGUAAAUAAGUUCGUCAAGAACUCGGAAAUCAUAGUAUGCUCUCUAUCAGUCUCAGCGUGCAAACCUAUAUCAUAAAGUGAUUUUGAAAAGGGAUUAACGGUAGAAACGUUAUUACCGAGUGAAUAUUUGUUAACGAUUGCACGUGAAGUAGAAUCUACCGUAGUAAACAUCUCCGCAGAAGUACGAGACUUUAAAGAUGAAAUAGCAUUGGGGAGUUUUCCCAAUAAAUUCAAUGACUCCAAAACAAUACGUAUAUCACGUAAACUGUCUCUACCAUAAUCCAUUUUUAAGCAAUCCGACAACUUUAAAGAAAGCGCUUCUUCUAGGUAACGCAAUUGCUCACUUUGGCCCAGAGUUGAUGUAUUUGCAUUGUUUUUUAAAAAAUCUCUCAAAAAAUAUGGGUUGGAAGUUUCCCUCAGCGGAUUUGGAGAGCAGUACGAUACUAUGGGAUAAGCGACAGCAUCUUUAAGGAAAGUAAUUGAAACCAACUCUUCAGAUAGAAUGUCCUCUAAAUGUGACAAGAGUCCUGUCAUCCGACUUUUAAACUGCUCCACUACUAAUAUUCCGUCAAAAUCAGAACGACUUAAUUCAUCCCAUACACGACGUAUUAAAUCGCUGGCAUGAUAAUAUUGCUUGCUAUCAACAAGCGUAUGAAAGUUGUCAAACAGCUGGUUGGCUUCAUUAAGUUCCUUGAGCACACUUAUGACUUUUUUGUAUUGAGAACUACGAGCCAAUGUUUGUUGAAGCUCUUUGCUAUUAGUAUUACCAAUGCAUUCUUGCGAAGCCUCAAGGGAUUGCUUUAAUGCUAUGAUUCUCGAAUUGCACUUCUGAAUUCCCUCCAUUAUUUCUCCAUAAGCCGAUAUACCUCGAGUAAAGUCAUCUUUAUGAGUAUGGGCAAUCGUUUGUAAUGCAGCACUAAUUCGAUCGUAAACGUUCAGAAAAGACUUAUAAUCUCUUCCAAAGCUACUGUCAUCUAAUAGUUCCAACGCUGUAGAUAUCGGUUGAUACUUAACCAUUCGUUAGUAAAUUCAAACAUCCUCCAAUCUUCACUUAUUCACGCAACAUACGUCUUCUCUUCCCAGGUCUUUCCAUUCAUCCUCAAUUUCAUUUACUAAAUCUAGCAUAAAGGUUAAAUCAAAACUCCCUGCUGCUUCACCUUACUUUCUAAAUCGCCUAUGUGCAUUCCACGCGAUGCAUACUCUGAACUCAAUUCAUUGUCCAUGCUAGUUCCAUAAUUUGAGUAGCCGUUAGGAGAUUCCAAGCUUUUCUUUCCCACUGGAUACCUUCCUUUUUUCGUUUCCGAAUAGCCUCUGGUAUCCAUGGAAGUCAAAUAGUCAGUAGUUUUAGCUUGAUAUGUCUAUUGACUGUAUUAUCUUUGAAAGGAGAGCUAAGAAAUCACUAUAUGAAUUACGUGGACCAACGCACUGCUAUUUAUUACAGCGCACCUUGAUUUAAUACUUUAUACUGACAAGGAGCAUGCAAAAGAACUCUGUAUGUGUUUCAGAGUUAAUGGGGGUGAUGGACUAUUGUAUAAGAAAAGAAUGAUAAGGGUGUAACUAAGCUACUACUACCACGAAAUAAUACUAAUAUAAACAGAAAAAUCAAGCAUCCAAGAAAAGGCAAAUUAAGAUACUUCGCAGAAAAGUACUUUGAUAAAUAACUAUGCCAUAAUAAAAAAAUAAGGUAUGAUGAGAUGAUUAAGAGAAUAAUAAUAUGAGCAAUGCCAAAGACCAAAAUAAAAGUCAGAAUAAAGGGGUGCAGAUGUAACAAAAAAACUAAAAAAGAAAGAACGGUUAAAAAUGCGCAAUCUCAAUAUGCAUUUUCUCCAUUACAAAAAUCAACACAUGACAAUCUUAAAAGAUAAGAAAGUAAAAGAGAGAUUAAGGGCAUUAGAAGGAUACAAGUAUUAAAACCAGUAAUCCUUGUAACACAAACAACACAACAAAUGGGGGCGGAAAAAAAAUUUAUAAUCCAAGAAGAUUCCAACUGUCAUAGCUUCGUUACAAUCACUGAAUUAAGAAAUUUAACGAAACAGAAAGAUGAAAGACUAACGACUUCUUUAUAUAACGGAUUGCCAAUUUGAAGUAAUAUAAAUAAAUAGCGGGUCUCAAGCUUCCGAGCUCAAUGAACAACUCAGUGCGCAAACUAUCGAUAAACACUUUUGCCAAGAAAUAUUCAACAAAGCGAUGAAUGUAAGUUCUAGAGUGCUUUGAAACUAAAUGCAUCAAGCAACAUUUUAAAGCUACCAUUUGAAUUAUUAGGUAGACGUCUCUCCGCAAGAGUCAUCAUCAUUUGAAUAACUCAUCAAUCCCCCAAGUUCAUCGUAAGCAUUAGAGAGACUGUCUUCAUAGCCCCGUUCCGCAAUUUGCAUUCCCUUAGCUUCCUUCCAUAUUUUUAGAAAGUAUAGCCUCAAAGUCCGUAAACCUCGUACGUAUCCUCGAUCAUACGUGUCUUUGUGUUGAGGAGGACAUGUAGCUUUUGCUAAAAGCUCUUUAUCCUCAGCAAAAACACAAUUGGCAAAAUCAACAAUCCGAAUGUCAAUUUCACGAGGCUUGACUUUUUCUUUGCUGGAUUUGUCGCUUGGCGGCGGCUCCCCAUCAUAUAAAAAUAGUAAUGAACUAGCAUACAAGCGGGAUCCUUUAAGAAACCUAACAAUUUGCUCUAACUGCUCUAGCUUUCUAAUUAUCGUGGGAAUAUGAUGCACCAAGAGAUGGCUAUUGUCUUCAUCGUCAUCCGUUUUCCCUAAGUAACGCAUCAAUGCGUGUUGAAAUUCCUCUCCUGCUUUAAUAUCACGACCUACAUACUUAUCUUCAAAUGUAUAUGAUUGAAGCCAAGGAUGCCAAACUUGCAUUCCACAUAUUCGGACACCAAGAACUCGAGAUGUAGUCAUCGCACACUUUUUAGUUUGUGAGGCUUUCUUUUUCUCCGUAGCCAUUAUUCCGUAUUGUCUAGUACCCAUCUUGACAUCCAACACACAAGGUCUUUUCAUUCCACUCGUUAAGUCUUCAAUCACAAUAUAUCUCUCAAUCUGGGUAGAAUGUUGAGAUUCCGAAUUUUCCGCGAGGGCAUUAGCAUCAUUAUUAUUAUUGUUUUGAUUAUCGCUUGCUGGAAUCCGGUGAUCUUCAUCGGCGGAUGCCAUGUGUGGAAGAGAGAGUACUCGCCUAGGAUCAUUUACGCUCCUGAAUGGAUCUCCAAUUUCUGCUGGUUCUAGAGGUGGAGGUAACUCGCUGUUUUCUUCAUUGUCCAUAGCAAAAAUAGAGUCAUCGGGUACAGUUCCAUGCGAGUUCGGUGUACUUCGUAGUUCCUUUAUUGUAUGUCCUGUUGACUCCCUUGAAUCAUAAUCCUCCAUUGUACCAGAAACCCGAGGAAACUCGUUAGAUUCUGGUUCUUCCCAAACAGCAUCUGAUGAAAAGCGUCUAUAUGACUUACCUUGAUUAUUGGACGGUACGUUGAGGAGUUCCUCGUCGACUUCUUCAUUUUCUUCGGCAACGGCGGAAUGCAAGUCGUAAUGUUUAUCUUCAACGCUACAGGAUAAGCUUUUGUUAGGAUCUGCAUCCUUAUCACGAGCUCGGCUAGAUGUGUUUCCAUUAUCCAAUUGUCCAAAAGCAACCGAAUUAUCACGAAAAACAGAAGGUCGAUGGGAACUCCUUGAAUGGAAACGAGUUCCAAGUCGACGUCUUGCAUGCUUGGGAGCAAAAACUUCUCGUAGAACUUCCUCUCGCAGUUUUCUGUUAAUUAAUGUGGUUCCCCAUGGAGUUUUGGGCGGUAUAUCAGCCACGAAAGUAGGAGAUACUGGCCGUUCUCCGGCUGAAGAUGAUUUAUGGUGUAAAGAUUUGGGGCUUCCAUAAGAAUGAGAUCUUUUGUCGGGAAGCAUCCAUUCAGGAAAAAUAUGACGGUUUUGCUCAACACUAACCUCUGGAAUGUAUCCAUAGUCUUUUUUCUGAUAACAGCUGUUAAAUGUGUGUUUAUGGGGGGCAGGUGUUUUAGA
Molecule: long non-coding RNA, 4214 nt
Filed under: Schizosaccharomyces pombe (fission yeast)
Lineage: Eukaryota; Fungi; Ascomycota; Schizosaccharomycetes; Schizosaccharomycetales; Schizosaccharomycetaceae
Source: RNAcentral